RNAcentral lists this non-coding RNA (30 nucleotides) under Mus musculus (house mouse). Lineage: Eukaryota; Metazoa; Chordata; Mammalia; Rodentia; Muridae. The record is from RNAcentral.
CACUAACUCAAUGAACCAUCUAAGGUCUGU